RNAcentral lists this ribosomal RNA (775 nucleotides) under uncultured Rhizophagus. Its description in RNAcentral is "SSU rRNA". It matches the Rfam family "Eukaryotic small subunit ribosomal RNA", at positions 338 to 1114 of the family's 1831-position model. Lineage: Eukaryota; Fungi; Glomeromycota; Glomeromycetes; Glomerales; Glomeraceae. The record is from RNAcentral.
GGCCUACCAUGGUGGUAACGGGUAACGGGGUGUUAGGGCACGACACCGGAGAGGGAGCCUGAGAAACGGCUACCACAUCCAAGGAUGGCAGCAGGCGCGCAAAUUACCCAAUCCCGACACGGGGAGGUAGUGACAAUAAAUAACAAUACGGGGUUCUUUCGGAUCUCGUAAUUGGAAUGAGUACAAUUUAAAUCUCUUAACGAGGAACAAUUGGAGGGCAAGUCUGGUGCCAGCAGCCGCGGUAAUUCCAGCUCCAAUAGCGUAUAUUAAAGUUGUUGCAGUUAAAAAGCUCGUAGUUGAAUUUCGGGGUUAGUAGGCUGGUCAUGCCUCUGGUAUGUACUGGUCUCACUGAUUCCUCCUUCCUGAUGAACCGUAAUGCCAUUAAUUUGGUGUUGCGGGGAAUUUGGACUGUUACUUUGAAAAAAUUAGAGUGUUUAAAGCAAGCUAACGCUUGAAUACAUUAGCAUGGAAUAAUGAAAUAGGACGUUCGAUCCUAUUUUGUUGGCUUCUAGGAUUGACGUAAUGAUUAAUAGGGAUAGUUGGGGACAUUAGUAUUCAAUUGUCAGAGGUGAAAUUCUUGGAUUUAUUGAAGACUAACUACUGCGAAAGCAUUUGCCAAGGGUGUUUUCAUUAAUCAAGAACGAAAGUUAGGGGAUCGAAGACGAUCAGAUACCGUCGUAGUCUUAACCAUAAACUAUGCCGACUAGGGAUCGGAUGAUGUUAAUUUUUUAAUGACUCAUUCGGCGCCUUACGGGAAACCAAAGUGUUUGGGUUC